GAAAGUAAACAAGUAUGAAGCAUGGUAAUUAAAAAGUUAAAACAAAUAUAUGUACAUGAUACAAUAGUCAUCUGAACAGUAAACACAAGUCCUCAAAUAUCGAUCACUUCCUCAAAUGGAGUAUAUAAUAUGGUCCCUACCAGAUAGGUCAUCACAACUCAAGUCAGGAAAACUCACGGAUACAAGGCUUCUUGUCAAAUAUUACACACGGUUCUGCUGAGGCGAACGGCCCAAUCCCAUAAGAGUGUGGUACAUAAUACUGUCGAGGCGAACGAUCCGAUCCCAUAAGAGUGUGGUACAUAAUCUUGCCAAGGCGAACGACUUGAUCCAAUAAGAGUGUGGUACAUAAUCCUGCCGAGAUGAACGACCCGAUCCCAUAUGAGUGUGAUACAUAAUCCUACCAAGGCGAACAACCCGAUCCUACUAGAAUAAGAAGCUUUAACGGGUCCUUGACCCCCACUAACGAAUAUAUAUAUGUGAGUUAUGAAAUUUAAGGAAACUUUUUGAUGAAUACGCACAACAAGGGAGAAAUUCGUAAAGGAAGAAUAAUUUUCCGCCGCUAAUCAAGUAGCUCGUCGAAUAUCUAAAAAGCGAGUACGAUACUUUACGCGAGUCUAGUCUCAUGAUAAAUGUAAAUAAAAGCAUUUAAACAUGCAAGAAAGACUCAAAUAGUAUAAUUUAAACAUGGCGUGAGUCUAAGUCUACCCGGACAUAAUUAGAAAUCCUAGCAUAUGCACGGACACUCGUCACCUCAUAUGUGUGUAUCUCUCACAACAUGUAGAACAUAAGAAUAUAUCACCUACGGGGUAAAUUCCCCCUCAGAAGGUUAGACAGGAUACUUAUCUCGCUCUGAAAUUCCAUAACCGGCUCCAACGCCUCUCUAGCACCUCACACCAAUGCCCAUCGAUCAGAAACUAGUCAAACAAUCAUGAAAACCAAUAAAAAUAUACUCCAACAUCAUAAUUAAUUAAUUUAUAACACUUUCCAACUCCGCUCGAAAAGUCAACUAAGUCAACCCUCGGGCCCACAUGCCCGAAUGAAAAAAGAGUGAGCCAAAUCCCGUACUCAACAAAGCAUUCUGCCCUGCGAUCAUCGCACAUGCGGCCAAAUAAUCGGACUUGCGACUCCGCACUUGCGAAAAACAUCCAUUGCAGGUGCGGUUCCUUCUAAGGCCAGCCAAACCUCCUUCUGUGAAAAAUUUCUCGCUUUUGCAAGCCUACACUAGCCCUUCCCAACUCCACUUCUGCGGAGGAUUUAAUCGCGCAUGCGGAAGCGCGCCUGUGGUUGAGCCUCCGCAUCUGCGGAAGGCCAUGCCUCUUCGCCUUUGGCUUCUGCAUUCCACUGCCCGCAUCUGCGAGCUCACAGGUGUGGUGGAUUCCUUGCACCUGAAAAUCCAGCCAGCCUCAAUCACAUCCGCUUCUACGACCCCUGGGCCGCAUCUGCGGUCUCGCACCUACGGCCAAAACCUCGUAGGUGCGAUUAUACCAGAAACCUUAAGCUUCAGCAAUUAUGAUUUGAUUCCAAUCUAAUUCACAACCGAGGCCCCAGGGACCCCCAUCCAGCCAUAACAAUGCAUCCUAAAACAUGAUAUGAACUUAGUCAAAGCCUCCAAUCACGUCAAACAAUAUCACAAUUUAUGACUCGACGGCCAAAACCUUUAUUUCAACUUUCAAACUUUAUCGAACGCAUCCGAAUUAUACUUAAAUAUCCUAGAAUGAUGCCAAACUUUACGUGCAAGUCAUAAAUCACAAUAUGUAAUUCCAAGGCUAGGAAUCCCUAACGUACAUCGAUAACACCAAAGUCCACUUCAAGUCCAACUUAGGAAUUUUUAAAUUUUUCAAAAUGCCAACUUUUCACAAUAAGCGCCGAAAUGCUCCCGGGCGACCCGAUACUCAACCCGAACAUACGCCCAAGUCCAAAAUCAUUAUACGAACCUAUUUGAACCUUCAAAUUCCGAUUCUAGAUCAUUUACUCAAAAGUCAAACCCUCGUCAACUCUUCCAACUUAAAGCUUCCAAAUUGAGAAUUUCCUUCUGAAUCAACUCUGAACUUCCCAGAAUUCAAUUUCGACCAUACGUACAAGUCAUAAUACAUAAAGUAAGUCUACUCAAGGCCUCAAACCGCCUAACGAUGCGCUAGAGCUCGAAAUGACCGGUCGGGUCGUUUAAAAAAGGUUAAAACGCGCCUACUAAUUGCCUAGCAUUUAAAUUAGUUAAAUUAGUUAAACAAAUAAACUGACUUUUUGGAUUUUUAUUGUUGAAAAGAUAUGGAGAAUCAAUGAUGGGUCAGUUCACUUGUAUUGGACAAGCUGGCCUAUUUUGGUUAUCACAUGGCCAUUGGGCCAAAUUAUUUGGUACUAAGCUAUUGGCAUCUUUUGAAAUUAAAUGGCCAUUGGGCCAAUUGCUGGUUAUUCUCUUUGGGCCUAGUAUUUUGUUUUUCCUAGUAUUUGCUCCCCAUUGUAAGUCACAUGAAAGAUAAGGCCGAAGGCACAAACAAACAAUCAACUAUUGGUACUAAAAUUAAAUUAAUUAAUAAUAUUGGAAUGACACAAACUAAAGACAAAAGUCAAUUAAGAAUCAUAUGGGCCCACAACCUUUGAAAUUCUUCCCAACAAAGCACACUUGACAUUUAGUUUCCACAUUCAACUCUUAAUUAACAAGUCCUAUUUAAUUCCUACAUUUAAGUCCUAACUAACAAGGCAAAUAUGGAUCUUCUUUCAACUACUUGACAUUUAAGUGAAUUGAAAUUACGUCCUAUCAAUUUGUUAAUUAACCUAUAACCUAGCAAGAAACAAUAAAAUGAGAACGCCUAAUCAUUGAAGGCAUCAUUUUAACCUCACACUAUGCUUAAACCAAAAACUAACCUCCAUGAGCACAAAUAAAAUAAUCCAAAUUAAAAAAAUAGAACAUGAAAAAUUGAAACGCGGCUUCGAACACUAUUGAAGCGAGAUGGCAGUAAAGAAGAGUGAACUUAAAUGAAACAAAAUAUGCUUAAAACUUUCACACAUUUGGACAGAACACAAAAGCCAAUUUAGUUUAAAGCGUUGCUGAAAAUAGUUCCAUUUUUAUUAUUUGAACAGCUAUAUACGACAAGCAUAACCACUUUUGUCUAUGGAUCGAAAUUAUUAAGCCGGCCGAGGAUGGUCAGAUUUGAUAAGCACCAAUAUCCAUGACUGAAAAAGAUAUAGCAUGUACGUCUCUAAGAUUUGAAACAAUAACAGUUAUUUAAAACCUCCACAACUUAGAUUUCAAACAUACGAACAUCCAUAUUUGCAUACAUUAAGCUAAGGAAUAUCUCACACGGUGGAAGUAAACAUUCAAAACAUCAUGAUUCUCAUUCAUUUUUAUCACAGCAGUCAUAUGGAGGUUAACAGAAUACCUUGUUGUAGAAUUUCGAGAAAGAAACAACAAGAAAAUCUUUUGAUAUCAAAGCUACUUGGGACCAACAAGCAGAACCAGCAGUGAAAAGCAGCAGCAAAUCAGCAGUAGCAGAACCCAAGAAUACCCCAGAAAAUCUAGCAAGAAGCACCGGAGGCUAGAAACUAUGUAAUUUCAGAAGUUAAAAAACAAGAUCUUUUGUUUUCUCAAAGAUUAUGCACUCAGAAGAUCACUCACAAAGAUUUCAUUUCUUCAACUUACUUUGAUGUUUAGCAGAGGCCUUUUUACUUUUUUUAGUUGUGUCUUUCUUAGAGUGUAAAGGAUGAUCUCCAAAUGUGUGAGAAAUGAACUCUUAGGUAGGAAAAAAAAAACAUCUUUUGGACAG
This 3761-nucleotide long non-coding RNA is filed under the name Nicotiana tabacum (common tobacco). Its description in RNAcentral is "long non-coding RNA (NTAB_LNC016136)". The record is from RNAcentral. Lineage: Eukaryota; Viridiplantae; Streptophyta; Magnoliopsida; Solanales; Solanaceae.